CUGUAUAUUUUUUAAACAGAGCAGUUAAAAGUUGCUCGAAAAAGAAUCAACGCCUACAAUUUUUUUGGCUUCUUGCUUUACGUCAGUUUACUUACGACUAGUAAUGGGUAGUAUGUACGCCGGCUAAUUCCUCACUGUGAGGAGA
Molecule: small RNA, 145 nt
Filed under: Pseudomonas mohnii
Lineage: Bacteria; Pseudomonadati; Pseudomonadota; Gammaproteobacteria; Pseudomonadales; Pseudomonadaceae
Description: Pseudomonas sRNA P14
Rfam family: Pseudomonas sRNA P14
Source: RNAcentral